GAUGAACGCUGGCGGCGUGCCUAAUACAUGCAAGUCGAGCGAACGGACGAGAAGCUUGCUUCUCUGAUGUUAGCGGCGGACGGGUGAGUAACACGUGGAUAACCUACCUAUAAGACUGGGAUAACUUCGGGAAACCGGAGCUAAUACCGGAUAAUAUUUUGAACCGCAUGGUUCAAAAGUGAAAGACGGUCUUGCUGUCACUUAUAGAUGGAUCCGCGCUGCAUUAGCUAGUUGGUAAGGUAACGGCUUACCAAGGCAACGAUGCAUAGCCGACCUGAGAGGGGGAUCGCCAACCCUGGAACUGGAACACGGUCAGGCCUCCUAGGGGAGGAGCAAGAAGGGAAUCUUCGGAAAUGGGGGAAAGCCUGAGGGACAAACGCGGGGUGAGUGAUGAAGGUCUUCGGAUCGUAAAACUCUGUUAUUAGGGAAGAACAAUUGUGUAAGUAACGGUGAACAUCUUGACGGUACCUAAUCAGAAAGCCACGGCUAACUACGUG
Molecule: ribosomal RNA, 497 nt
Filed under: uncultured bacterium
Lineage: Bacteria
Description: partial 16S ribosomal RNA
Rfam family: Bacterial small subunit ribosomal RNA
Source: RNAcentral